AUUGAACGCUGGCGGCAGGCUUAACACAUGCAAGUCGAGCGGAGUGAUGGUGCUUGCACUAUCACUUAGCGGCGGACGGGUGAGUAAUGCUUAGGAAUCUGCCUAUUAGUGGGGGACAACAUCUCGAAAGGGAUGCUAAUACCGCAUACGUCCUACGGGAGAAAGCAGGGGAUCACUUGUGACCUUGCGCUAAUAGAUGAGCCUAAGUCGGAUUAGCUAGUUGGUGGGGUAAAGGCCUACCAAGGCGACGAUCUGUAGCGGGUCUGAGAGGAUGAUCCGCCACACUGGGACGGAGACACGGCCCAGAAUCCUACGGGAGGCAGCAGUGGGGAAUAUUGGACAAUGGGGGGUACCCUGAUCCAGCCAUGCCGCGUGUGUGAAGAAGGCCUUAUGGUUGUAAAGCACUUUAAGCGAGGAGGAGGCUCUUUUGGUUAAUACCCAAGAUGAGUGGACGUUACUCGCAGAAUAAGCACCGGCUAACUCUGUGCCAGCCGCCGCGGUAA
Molecule: ribosomal RNA, 503 nt
Filed under: uncultured bacterium
Lineage: Bacteria
Description: partial 16S ribosomal RNA
Rfam family: Bacterial small subunit ribosomal RNA
Source: RNAcentral